This 469-nucleotide ribosomal RNA is filed under the name uncultured soil bacterium. RNAcentral describes it as "bacterial SSU rRNA". It matches the Rfam family "Bacterial small subunit ribosomal RNA", at positions 26 to 521 of the family's 1533-position model. The record is from RNAcentral.
AGGAUGAACGCUGGCGGAAUGCCUAAUACAUGCAAGUCGAGCGGCAGCGCGAGUAGUUUACUACUUGGCGGCGAGCGGCGGACGGCUGAGUAACGCGUGGGAACGUACCCCAAAGUGAGGAAUAACUGCCCGAAAGGGUAGCUAAUGCCGCAUAUGAUCUUCGGAUUAAAGGAUUUAUCCGCUUUGGGAGCGGCCCGCGUACGAUUAGAUAGUUGGUGAGGUAAAGGCUCACCAAGUCGACGAUCGUUAACUGAUCUGAGAGGAUGAUCAGUCAGACUGGAACUGAGACACGGUCCAGACUCCUACGGGAGGCAGCAGUAAGGAAUCUUCCACAAUGGACGAAAAGUCUGAUGGAGCAAUUCGCGUGCAGGAUGAAGGCCCUCGGGUUGUAAACUGCUUUUAUUGUGAAGAAUAUGACGGUAAACAAAUGAAUAAAGGUCGGACUAACUACGUAGCCAGCAGCCGCGGU